GAUCAAGCUACUAAGGGCUUAUGGUGAAUGCCUUGGUGCCAAGAGGCGAUGAAGGACGUAGCAAGCUGCGAUAAGCUCCGGGAUAGCCGCAAGCAGGCAUUGAUCCGGAGAUUUCCGAAUGGGGACAACCCACCGGCGCAAGCCGGUGUUCCGGGAUGAAUUAAUAGUCCCGGAACGCAAGACGGGGUGAAGUGAAACAUCUCAGUAACCCGAGGAAAAGAAAACGACGUGAUUCCGUGAGUAGUGGCGAUCGAAAGCGGAACAGCCCAAACCGCCGGGACUUGUCCCGGCGGGGUUGUGGGACCCCGACAGGGGAGAGACCAGGUUAGCCGAAGGUUCUGGAAAGCCCUGCCACAGACCGUGACAGCCCGGUAGGCAAAAACCCAGGUCUCCUCAGGGGUAUCCUAAGUAGCACGGUGCACAGGAAACACUGUGUGAAUCGGUCCGGACCACCGGAUAAGGCUAAAUACUCCUUGGCAACCGAUAGUGAACAAGUACCGCGAGGGAAAGGUGAAAAGAACCCCGUUGAGGGGAGUGAAAUAGUACCUGCAACCAUCUGCCUACAAGGUGUGGGAGCCCGUAGGGGUGACCGCCUGCCUUUGCAUAAUGAGUCUGCGAGUUAUUGUCUGGGGCCUGCCUAAGCUGCGGCGCAGCGGAGGCGCAGGGAAACCAAGUACGAAAUGUGCGAUGUGGUCGCAGGCAAUAGACCCGAAGCGGAGGUGAUCUACUCUUGAGCAGGUUGAAGCCUGGGUAACACCAGGUGAAGGACCGAACUCGUGGACGUUGAAAAGUCCUGAGAUGACUUGAGAGUAGGGGCGAAAGACCAAUCAAACCCCGUGAUAGCUGGUUCUCCCCGAAAUAGCAUUGAGGUGCUAGCCUCGGUGCGCUGACGGGCGGAGGUAGAGAUACUGAAUGGACUUAGGGCCCCGCGGGGUACUGAAAAACCAACCAAACUCCGAAUGCCGCCCGGCGAAUUACUCCAGGAGUCAGGCGCGGGGGGAUAAGCUUCGUCGCCGAGAGGGAACAGCCCAGACCGCCAGCCAAGGCGCCCAGAUGGUUCAGUGGAAAGGAUGUGGCCCUGCUCAGACAGUGAGGAUGUUGGCUUAGAGGCAGCCAUCAUUUAAACAGUGCGUAACAGCUGACUCAUCGAGCGGGGUCGCGCCGAAAAUGAUUGGCGAUCAAACCAUGUACCGAAGCUGCGGGUGUCGGGACCCCCGGGUCCCGGCGGCGGUAGGAGAGCGUGACCAACGCGUCGAAGCCGGACGGAAACGGAAGGUGGAGCGUUGGCCAGUGAGAAUGCAGACACGAGUAGCGAUAAACCGGUGGAGAAUCCCGGUCGCCGUAAACCUAAGGUUUCCUGGGGCAGGUUCGUCCUCCCAGGGUUAGUCGGGAGCUAAGGCGAGGCCGUAAGGCGAUAGUCGAUGCCCAGCAGGUCAAAUAUUCCUGCACCACCGACAUUUAACCGGCCAGGGACGCGGAGAGAAAGGUCGGGGAUCACCCUAUCCGAAUCGGGACGCGGAGCCCACGGGCGAAGCGCAUCCCUGGACAAUCUGCCGAGAAAAGCUGGCGGGUAGACUAAGGCGCCCGUACCGUAAACCGACACAGGUGGGUGAGUGUGAAGGCACUCAGGCGCGCGAGAGAAACCUCUCUGAAGGAACUCGGCACAUUAGCCCCGUAACUUCGGGAGAAGGGGUGCCCAACACCCUGGCAGCAAUGUUUGGGUGAAGGGCUUCAAUAAAUUGCGCUUAGCGACUGUUUAACAAAAACACAGCACUCUGCCAAGUCGUGAAGACGACGUAUAGGGUGUGACACGUGACCAAUGCGGAAAGAUUAACGCAUCUUGUCAGCCCGCGCAAGCGGGGUGAAGCCCGGUGCCUAAGUCCCCGUGAAUGUCGGCCGUAACUAUAACGGUCCUAAGGUAGCGAAAUUCCUUGUCGGGUAAGUUCCGACCUGCACGAAUCGUGUAACGAGUUGAGCGACUGUCUCGGAGAGGAUCUCGGCGAAACUGUAGUGGCGGUGAAGAUGCCGCCUGCCCGCAGUAGGACGGAAAGACCCUAUGCACCUUUACUGUAAGCUGGUAUUGGGUUCCUGGUUAACGGAUGCGUAGCGUAGGUGGGAGGCGGUGAACGGUCGGCUUCAGGUUGACCGGGAGUCGCCAAUGGAAACACCACCUUUCCGCUAAUUAGAAUUCUAACCCCGACUGUCAGCCAGGCGGGGGACAGUGCCUGCGGGUCAGUUUGACUGGGGCGGUCUCCUCCCAAAGAGUAACGGAGGAGCGCGAAGGUCGGCUCAGCACUGGUUGGCAACCAGCCCCAUAGAACGCAUGGGCAGAAGCCGGCUUGACUGCGAGACCAACAAGUCGAGCAGGCGCGAAAGCGGGCCCAAGUGAUCCGGUGGUGGAAAGUGGAAUCGCCGUCGCUCAACGGACAAAAAGGUACGCUAGGGAUAACAGGCUGAUCGCGCCCAAGAGUUCAUAUCGACGGCCCGGUUUGGCACCUCGAUGUCGGCUCAUCGCAUCCUGGGGCUGGAGAAGGUCCCAAGGGUCCGGCUGUUCGCCGGUUAAAGCGGUACGCGAGCUGGGUUCAGAACGUCGUGAGACAGUUCGGUCCUCUAUCCACUGUGGGCGCCAGGAGACUUGAGGGGUUCUUUCCUUAGUACGAGAGGACCGGGAAAGACGCACUUCUGGUGUGGCAGUUGUUCCGUCAGGGGCAUCGCUGCGUAGCCAUGUGCGGACGAGAUAAGCGCUGAAAGCAUCUAAGCGCCAAGCUCCUCCCAAGAUAUGGUCUCCCAGCCGCAAGGCUCUCAAGACCCCGGUAGACGACCGGGUUGAUAGGUCAGGCGUGAAAGCGCGGCAACGCGUUCAGCGGACUGAUACUAAUUGGUCGUGCGGCUUGAUCGC
Molecule: ribosomal RNA, 2899 nt
Filed under: Verrucomicrobiota bacterium
Lineage: Bacteria; Pseudomonadati; Verrucomicrobiota
Description: Verrucomicrobia bacterium 23S ribosomal RNA
Rfam family: Bacterial large subunit ribosomal RNA
Source: RNAcentral